GGAAGAGCAAAUGCAGCUUCAUUCCUAUGAGUAAGAAUUUUAAUCUCUUUUAAAACAGUUGUUUCAGCCUAAUUUCUGUUGAAAUUCUAUGGAAAUGCUUUUUUGACUCUCAGUGCACUUAAAAAUUAGGACUGGUCGCACAGUACAAAGAUUCUGGCCUGGGAAGAAUUGCAUCCUGUGAAGGGAAUUCUGGGAUCCUCUUCCCCUUAGUCCGUUUCUCUGUGUUAUCGAUGAUUUCAGCUAAUCAGUGUAAAACAUAUUUAUGUGAAGGUGGUGAAAAGAGUUUUAUCUUGUGAUUAGCAAAAUGUCCUUAAUGUUUGCUGUGUGUCGGGGUUGGCAUUUAAUAGCAAUUCGUCUGGCAACGUGAGAGCAGUUCCUCUCUGGUUACAGCAAAAUGCAGAGAAAACAAUUCCAAACUUCGUAAGAGCUGGCUGUCCUUAAUUACAGUCAUCCACCCCUCUGUUCUCAUGUUUUAAUAGCAGUGAAAAAUGCCUACUAAAUGCAAUUAAGUAUUUCCCUGCCCACACUGCACAGACAUAUCCUGUAUCGAGGUAUUACCAUUUGUUAAGGAGGAAAUGAAGAACAGGGAUCACAGUAGAGAUUAGCAGGAAGAUUUCUGCAUGAUUCUCUGACAUUUUGGAAUAGGUUGCCCAAGGAGGCUGUGGAUGCCGCAUCCCUGGAGGCCGGGCGGGAUUUGGCUCUGGGCAGCCUGGUCUGGUGGUUGGUGACCCUGCACACAGCAGAGGGGUUGAAACUGGAUGAUCAUUGUGGUCCUUUUCAACCCCGGCUAUCCUAUGAUUCAAUGGUUUUGUUUUUAUACAUACUUUGCAGUGAAAUGAGAUAAUUUGCUAAUUCCUCCCCCUUAUUAUGGAAAGAAGUUUGUAAAGGGAUCUGAUCUCAGUUUGUCCCAGCUUUGGCUCUCCUCGUUUCUGAACAGUAUACUUGUGGUGGUGCUUUAUGAUUGUGAAUCUGAACUGCAGCUUUGAAUGAUGAUAUAUUUCUUUUGUCUUAUGUUACUAUGUGAAGGGCUGGGGGAUGUUUUGCCCUUUUAUAAUCCUUUCUUUGCCCCUGUGUUCUCAGUGUAAUAGCUGGAUCACCAGAGCUGCAUUUAGCAGCAUUUGGGCUGGUACAUGGCAGGCAAAGGCUCGUCUCUACAGCCGGAUCAGGUCAGCACGUCAGUUCCCAGUGGUAGCCAUGCUGCUGACCUCCUUAGCAACUAGAAAGUGCUGGCAACAAAUGCUUCCUGCAUCCAGCAGGGCAAAAGGACGAGGUUUCUGUCUCAAGACUAAAUACAUACGGUCAAGAUUUAGAGUUAUCAGUAGCUGUCUUGCAGGUAGCUGCCUUUGCAAGAAUGACUCAUGCAGAAGGAUUCCUUCCCAUGGACCACAGGUACUGCAGCAUGAUGCCAGCUCUGGACAAGUUCCCGUGCUCCAGUGUUAACUCUGCUGUCCACCCCUGCUGCAGGAGUUCCUUUGCCAUGCAUCCUGCCUGGAUCACCAAGCCCCUUGCUCCCCUGUGGUGCCAACGGAUUGGGCGCUGCCUCCCCUCCCUUGGCCCAGCGUGGCAGAGGCUGAGCACAAUGCAGAGAUCAGUGACCUUAGCCAAAAACGUCCCUGUUCUGGUGAGAGGGGAGCAUGAUGGAUUUUAUUACCGUGGUACAGUAAAAGAGGAGAUGGAGAAUGAAAGGGGGAUGUUCCUGGUAGAGUUUACCAGACCUCUUCAGUUGAAUGGAAGGCAUUCGGUCUGUGUGCAAAAAACAGCAAAGGAUGACAUCCUGGAGUAUGCCAAUGGAAUGAAGCAUUCCUUGCUGCCAGGAGACAAAGUAUUGGCACCUUGGGAACCAGAUUUGGUGAGGUAUGGCCCUGGAACUGUCCUCACAGGCAUUGAGACGAGGGACCCCUUACGAGCCUCAGAAGAUGAAGAAGUUACGGUUCAGUUCUGGAAUGACAAGAAAGUGAAGCUGCCACAAGGUGUAGCGCUGUGGAUCCCCCCUAGCCUGUGUGGGAGGAUUGUGGAGAUGAUCCACAUGCCUUUCUCCAGCAGGUUAAAGCGCAGAGAAAUUCCUGAUGUUAACUCGUGCAUUUUUUCCUGCAGUCCUAAAAGCGCCUGGGUUCCUGUUUGCGUUGCACAUAGCCAUGCUAAGCACAGCUUGCUCUGCUCACCCUUCUGGCCACUUCUCCACAGUCAUUGCAGUGGUAUGUACUGUUCAUCAGCCUGUGUCCACUGCUUCUGCUGCUGCCAUGGCCAUUCUGAUGUCCGGUGGCCUCUUCUGCCUAAGUCUCAGUUCUGUAAGAGAGAAGCUGAAGAGGCAGAGCCCAGCACCAAAUCCUCUCUACCCCUUCUAGAACUGGAAGGUCCAAAACAAGAGGAGUUAGCAGCUGUGGCAGCAUGUUCCCCUUCUGAUUUAGAGGGUGAUCCAGAGGUGUUUCCCACUCAGAGUACUGCAGAGGGCAGUACUGUUAACACAGACCUCAGUCAUCCUGAGAAGCCCAGGCUGGAGGAAUCUGCAGGACCUGAAUGGAAAUACUGGAAAAGGAACCACUGCAAGUCUCGUGCCAGUGAUUCAGGAACUGGCAGAUGCAGCAGCAUAUGUACAAAAGGCAAGCUGAAAUCCAAAGCCAUCUCUGUUGUGGACAUGUCCCAUGUUGCACCACCUGAAACCACUGAGCAGCCUCCCAGAGGGCAAUUCACAAGGAAUGAAGUCAUGAAAUACCAGGAUAUCAAGCUGUCAUCAGGGGAGGAAGGCUCUGUAGCAUCAGGAAAACAAAGAUAUAGAUGUGCAAGAAAGAAAACAGAGUCUGACAAUAAACAUAAAGCAACUUGUUUAGGAGAGAACAAACUUGGCAGUACAGACCACAUCAGCAGAGAACAGAAAGGGAAAAAUACAGCAAAGAGCUCCUGCUGAAGCAGGGAGAGACAUGAUCCAUCAGAGUUCAGUAACUGUACAGCUGAUGAAGCUCAAGAACUGAAAUUUCAGGGUUAGGCUGCUGUUAUAUGGAAUUAUUUGGACACGAACUCUUUACAGCUCUGGAGAGAUCAGGUAAACUAGUAUUAGUGCUGAAAGCCUGAGCAGAUGUGAAGCAAGGAUCCAAUAAACCUCCAAUUUAUCCACUGUCCUCUGCUGCCAGCCAGAGGAAUUCAGCACAGCAAUUCCUCUGAGGGAAGCCAGAAGAAAUAGAGAAAUUAUACAACCUGACAGUCCCAAAUUUUUAUUGUUAUUAUUUUUUUUCAAGAUUAAAGCAAAAGAGAGAAAUAAAAAGAGGAACAUAUAGCUUAACACAAUUCUCAGUGGUGCAGUGUUGAAGCCAUUGAAUUUUAUAUUCUCCUUGACAUUAACUGAAACCUUAAUGCCAUCAGCUACAAAAGGAUUACAGACUAUAUAGAGCAUGUCACUAAUACUAACUGCCUUCUACUGAAAAAGGCAGCUAGGCAAUUCUUAGCCUAGUUUAGAGACUGCAGAGACAGGAUUUGAAGCUUGUCAAUGGUUUAUGUGUCUGUGCUGACUAUCUAACAUAUACUCAAGCACCUUGCUGAGGUGGGCUCCUAGACAGUAAAUGUCAUCAUAGUAAAUAGAAUUAUUGGGGUUGGAAUGGACCCCUGGAGAUCAGAGUCCAACCCUCCCCUGCUACAGCAGGGUCCCUACAGCAGGUCACACAGGUAGGUGUCCAGGUGGGUUCUGAGUAUCUCCAUAGAAGGAGACGUGGGCAGCCUGUUCCACUGCUCUGUCACCCUCACAGUAAAGCGGUUUUUCCUCAUGUUCAGAUGGAACUUCCUGUGUUCCAGUUUGUGCUCAUUGUCUCUUGUUCUGUUGCUGGGCACCACUGAAAAAAGCCAGGCCUCAUCCUCUUGACUCCCACACUGCAGAUGCUUUUAAAUAUUGCUGAUUCCCUCUGACUUCUCUCCUCCAGGCUGAACAGCCCCAGGUCUCUCAGCCUUUCCUCAUACAGGAAAUACUUCAGGCCCCUUGUUAUUUCUGUGGCCCUCCACUGGACUCUAGGAGAUCCCUGUCUUUCUUGAACUGGGGAGCCCAGAAUGGUACACAGCACUCCAGCUGUGGCCUCACCAGGGCAGAGUAGAGUGGGAGGAUCAUCUCCCUCCACCUGCUGACCAUUAAAAAAGGCACUGUUUCUUUAUCUGAAUUAUAAAAAUAUAGAUAAGGGAAAUAUACUUGAGAUGGAUGGUCAGCUGCUCUAGUGCCAGAGCUGGUGUAUGUCUGCAUUCACACCACUGGGAUCUCGUUCUCUGUGGGUAAGAACAUGACAUGGACUUUCUGCCUGAAAAAAAUUAGCAUCACAAAGACCAAAUGAUAUAUUUAUUCCACUGAUUGUAUCUUUAAUUAUUUCAAGUUUAAGAUCCUCAGAUUACACAGUUGUGUGAUUGGAAUUAAGAGACACGAAGUACAAAUAUUUAUGAAAUCAGUGUACAAAGUGGGUUGCAUACAAUUGCAUUAGG
This is a non-coding RNA of Coturnix japonica (Japanese quail), 4452 nucleotides long. The record is from RefSeq and is a predicted model, not a curated record. NCBI's taxonomy places the organism in Eukaryota, Metazoa, Chordata, Aves, Galliformes, Phasianidae.